GUGGGGAAUUUUGGACAAUGGGCGCAAGCCUGAUCCAGCCAUGCCGCGUGCAGGAUGAAGGCCUUCGGGUUGUAAACUGCUUUUGUACGGAACGAAAAGACUCUGGUUAAUACCUGGGGUCCAUGACGGUACCGUAAGAAUAAGCACCGGCUAACUACGUGCCAGCAGCCGCGGUAAUACGUAGGGUGCGAGCGUUAAUCGGAAUUACUGGGCGUAAAGCGUGCGCAGGCGGUUAUAUAAGACAGAUGUGAAAUCCCCGGGCUCAACCUGGGAACUGCAUUUGUGACUGUAUAGCUAGAGUACGGCAGAGGGGGAUGGAAUUCCGCGUGUAGCAGUGAAAUGCGUAGAUAUGCGGAGGAACACCGAUGGCGAAGGCAAUCCCCUGGGCCUGUACUGACGCUCAUGCACGAAAGCGUGGGGAGCAAACAGGAUUAGAUACCCUAGUAGUCC
RNAcentral lists this ribosomal RNA (450 nucleotides) under uncultured bacterium. Its description in RNAcentral is "partial 16S ribosomal RNA". It matches the Rfam family "Bacterial small subunit ribosomal RNA", at positions 354 to 796 of the family's 1533-position model. The record is from RNAcentral.